This 449-nucleotide ribosomal RNA is filed under the name uncultured Alphaproteobacteria bacterium. RNAcentral's name for it is "bacterial SSU rRNA". It matches the Rfam family "Bacterial small subunit ribosomal RNA", at positions 1077 to 1533 of the family's 1533-position model. The record is from RNAcentral. Lineage: Bacteria; Pseudomonadati; Pseudomonadota; Alphaproteobacteria.
UGGGUAGUCCGCACGAGCGCACCUCGACUAUCAGUUGCCAGCAUUUAGUUGGGUACUCUGAUGGAACUGCCGGUGACAAGCCGGAGGAAGGUGGGGAUGACGUCAAGUCCUCAUGGCCCUUACGGGCUGGGCUACACACGUGCUACAAUGGCGGUGACAGUGGGUUGCGAACCUGUGAAGGUGAGCUAAUCUCUAAAAUCCGUCUCAGUUCGGAUUGUACUCUGCAACUCGAGUGCAUGAAGUUGGAAUCGCUAGUAAUCGCGGAUCAGCGUGCCGCGGUGAAUACGUUCUCGGGCCUUGUACACACCGCCCGUCACACCAUGGGAGUUGGAUUUACCUUAAGCCGGUGCGCUAACUUUUGAGGUAGCCGACCACGGUAAGUUCAGCGACUGGGGUGAAGUCGUAACAAGGUAGCCGUAGGGGAACCUGCGGCUGGAUCACCUCCUUUC